CCUACGAGUGGCAGCAGUGAGGAAUAUUGGUCAAUGGACGCAAGUCUGAACCAGCCAUGCCGCGUGCAGGAAGACGGCUCUAUGAGUUGUAAACUGCUUUUGUACGAGGGUAAAUCCCGAUACGUGUAUCGGGUUGAAAGUAUCGUACGAAUAAGGAACGGCUAACUCCGUGACAGCAGCCGCUGUAAUACGGAGGAUUCAAGCGUUAUCCGGAUUAAUGGGGGUUACAGGGUGCGUAGGCGGUUCGAUAAGUUAGCGGUGAAAUCCCGGGGCUCAACUCCGGCACUGCCUCUGAUACUGUCGGGCUAGAUGUUAGUUGCGGUAGGCGGAAAGUAUGGUGUAGCGGUGAAAUGCAUAGAGAUCAUACAGAACACCGAUUGCUAAGGCAGCUUACCAAACUACGACUGACGUUGAGGCACGAAAGCGUGGGGAGCAAACAGGAUUAGAUACCCCAGUAGUC
This 460-nucleotide ribosomal RNA is filed under the name uncultured bacterium. Its description in RNAcentral is "partial 16S ribosomal RNA". It matches the Rfam family "Bacterial small subunit ribosomal RNA", at positions 338 to 795 of the family's 1533-position model. The record is from RNAcentral.